This 745-nucleotide ribosomal RNA is filed under the name Priestia megaterium. RNAcentral's name for it is "bacterial SSU rRNA". It matches the Rfam family "Bacterial small subunit ribosomal RNA", at positions 38 to 764 of the family's 1533-position model. Lineage: Bacteria; Bacillati; Bacillota; Bacilli; Caryophanales; Bacillaceae. The record is from RNAcentral.
AGGGGGGGGUGCUAUACAUGCAAGUCGAGCGAACUGAUUAGAAGCUUGCUUCUAUGACGUUAGCGGCGGACGGGUGAGUAACACGUGGGCAACCUGCCUGUAAGACUGGGAUAACUUCGGGAAACCGAAGCUAAUACCGGAUAGGAUCUUCUCCUUCAUGGGAGAUGAUUGAAAGAUGGUUUCGGCUAUCACUUACAGAUGGGCCCGCGGUGCAUUAGCUAGUUGGUGAGGUAACGGCUCACCAAGGCAACGAUGCAUAGCCGACCUGAGAGGGUGAUCGGCCACACUGGGACUGAGACACGGCCCAGACUCCUACGGGAGGCAGCAGUAGGGAAUCUUCCGCAAUGGACGAAAGUCUGACGGAGCAACGCCGCGUGAGUGAUGAAGGCUUUCGGGUCGUAAAACUCUGUUGUUAGGGAAGAACAAGUACAAGAGUAACUGCUUGUACCUUGACGGUACCUAACCAGAAAGCCACGGCUAACUACGUGCCAGCAGCCGCGGUAAUACGUAGGUGGCAAGCGUUAUCCGGAAUUAUUGGGCGUAAAGCGCGCGCAGGCGGUUUCUUAAGUCUGAUGUGAAAGCCCACGGCUCAACCGUGGAGGGUCAUUGGAAACUGGGGAACUUGAGUGCAGAAGAGAAAAGCGGAAUUCCACGUGUAGCGGUGAAAUGCGUAGAGAUGUGGAGGAACACCAGUGGCGAAGGCGGCUUUUUGGUCUGUAACUGACGCUGAGGCGCGAAAGCUGAC